GUGUCAGCAGCCGCGGUAAUACAGAGGGUGCAAGCGUUGCUCGGAUUUACUGGGCGUAAAGCGUACGCAGACGGUAAGAAAGGUCGGAUGUGAAAGCCCCGGGCUCAACCCGGGAACUGCAUCCGAAACCAUCUUGCUAGAGUAUGAGAGAGGGAAGCGGAAUUCCUGGUGUAGAGGUGAAAUUCGUAGAUAUCAGGAGGAACACCGGCGGCGAAGGCGGCUUCCUGGCUCAUUACUGACGUUCAGGUACGAAAGCGUGGGUAGCAAACAGGAUUAGAAACCCCUGUAGUCC
RNAcentral lists this ribosomal RNA (292 nucleotides) under uncultured bacterium. RNAcentral's name for it is "partial 16S ribosomal RNA". It matches the Rfam family "Bacterial small subunit ribosomal RNA", at positions 505 to 796 of the family's 1533-position model. The record is from RNAcentral.